AACGAACGCUGGCGGCAGGCCUAACACAUGCAAGUCGAACGCCCUAGCAAUAGGGAGUGGCGCCCGGGUGCGUAACGCGUGGGAAUAUGCCCUUGACUGCGGAACAACGUCGGGAAACUGACGCUAAUACCGCAUAAUGUCUUCGGACCAAAGAUUUAUCGGUCAAGGAUUAGCCCGCGUCUGAUUAGCUAGUUGGUGAGGUAACGGCUCACCAAGGCGACGAUCAGUAGGGGGUCUGAGAGGAUGAUCCCCCACACUGGGACUGAGACACGGCCCAGACGCCUACGGGAGGCAGCAGUGAGGAAUAUUGGACAAUGGGCGCAAGCCUGAUUCAGCCAUGCCGCGUGAGUGACGAAGGCCUUCGGGUUGUGAAGCUCUUUCAGAUGCGAAGAUAAUGACGGUAACAUCAGAAGAAGCCCCGGCUAAAUUCGUGCCAGCCGCCGCGGUAA
This 449-nucleotide ribosomal RNA is filed under the name uncultured bacterium. Its description in RNAcentral is "partial 16S ribosomal RNA". It matches the Rfam family "Bacterial small subunit ribosomal RNA", at positions 29 to 523 of the family's 1533-position model. The record is from RNAcentral.